This 102-nucleotide ribosomal RNA is filed under the name Otolemur garnettii (small-eared galago). Lineage: Eukaryota; Metazoa; Chordata; Mammalia; Primates; Galagidae. The record is from RNAcentral.
AUCUAUGGCCAUACCACCCUGAAUGAGCUCCAAUUUCAUCUAUCUUGGAAGCUAAGCAGGGUUGGGUUGGUUAGGAGGGUACAUCCAUUAAGUACCUGGAUG